This 266-nucleotide ribosomal RNA is filed under the name Providencia rettgeri. RNAcentral's name for it is "partial 23S ribosomal RNA". It matches the Rfam family "Bacterial large subunit ribosomal RNA", at positions 1084 to 1348 of the family's 2925-position model. Lineage: Bacteria; Pseudomonadati; Pseudomonadota; Gammaproteobacteria; Enterobacterales; Morganellaceae. The record is from RNAcentral.
CUCAGACAGCCAGGAUGUUGGCUUAGAAGCAGCCAUCAUUUAAAGAAAGCGUAAUAGCUCACUGGUCGAGUCGGCCUGCGCGGAAGAUGUAACGGGGCUAAACUAUGCACCGAAGCUGCGGCAGCGAUAUGUAAAUAUUGUUGGGUAGGGGAGCGUUCUGUAAGCCUGUGAAGGUGUACUGCGAGGUAUGCUGGAGGUAUCAGAAGUGCGAAUGCUGACAUAAGUAACGAUAAUGCGGGUGAAAAACCCGCACGCCGGAAGACCAA